Molecule: long non-coding RNA, 1243 nt
Organism: Acipenser ruthenus (sterlet)
Lineage: Eukaryota; Metazoa; Chordata; Actinopteri; Acipenseriformes; Acipenseridae
Exons: 2
Source: RefSeq, a predicted model, not a curated record
GCCACUGAUUGGACAGCAGGUUUGCAUGCGCGGCGUCUCCCGCGUCAUGUAGUUCAGAGAAAUAGCAGCGAGCGAAAGCGUCAGUUCAGAGCCUUAAGGCUCUCUUCAACGACUUAAAAGAACAAAAAAAAAUCCACAAAUUCAGUAUAUGAACACUUUGGUCUUCUCUGAGACGAUGAAUAUAACCGGUCUGCAAAAUGUGCUUUGCCAAGAUUAAAUGCAAAAAAAAAUACAACGAAUGUUUUCGCAUUUGCGACUCCACCAUCCAAACGAACACGUGACGCAGGCGUAGUUGUUCGAAAAAGGUUUACACAGGAGCAUGGCUGGAUUAACGCAGGAAACGUUUUACGAGUUUGUUGAAAGUAAAAAGCACUACGUAAAUAACAGCUCAGAAGCGAAGACCCUGGACAGAGCUGUGAUGCUUGUACAAACUCUUGACUAGUGGAGUUUCUUGGUAAAUAAUUUUGUGUCAAUCACAACAGACAACGUGUCUAACAUGAAACGGGCAUUCACUAAACUCCAAGAAAACGAUGGUCAGUUUCCUGAUAUGAAAAGGCUGAGCUGCUUUGGCCACAACCUUGACUUGACUAUCAAUAAAUGACUAAAGCUGGACAGCGUGGAACGGGCAAUAAGGACUGCCAGGAAAAUGGUGAGUGUUUUCACAAAACUGGAAACAUCAAAGAGACUUAAAAAUGCAACACAAGACAAGGUCAUGCAACUUCCUAAACACUCUCUUAUACACACAGAGCACUUGCAAGAGACCUGAAGAGGUAAUCAGAAACGACCUGCUGAAGCGUUAUGCAAGUGACUCAUGCACUGUUUUGGAUCCAAGGUUCAAGACUGUGCAUGCUAUGAACUACAGGAAUGCUGUUUCUCACUUAGUUGAGUAAUGCAUAGAAUUGCACAGUAUAAAUCAGAAGAGACAGCAAGGCUUCAGAGGAAGAAGGCUUGGAUCCAUGUACAAAAAGUAAAACCAACUGGUCUGAAUGAUUUACUGCAACUGGGAAUUGUGAUGACUCGUGUUUUUUUUUUUUCUGAAUAUUAAUUAGUGUAUUUGGUGUAAUUAAAUGGAAUGAUUUUUAUGAAUACAUACACUGGCUUUUAUUGUGUGUUGAUAUGCUUUGAUAUGUUUUACUGGACAGUUAUUUGGGAUAUUUUUUAUGAAAGGCACUAUAGAAAAUUAAUAUCAUGUAGUCUUUAUCUUUUGCUCCUAUUAGAUCAUUAAAGGCACCUAGAUUACAAA